This is a long non-coding RNA of Triticum dicoccoides, 912 nucleotides long. RefSeq lists it as uncharacterized. Lineage: Eukaryota; Viridiplantae; Streptophyta; Magnoliopsida; Poales; Poaceae. The transcript is spliced from 3 exons. The record is from RefSeq and is a predicted model, not a curated record.
GUGGAUAAUCUGCAAUCCUGCAUAAUGGUAUAAGAAAGGGCACUGACGAUGGGAUCUGGAGCAUCGUCUUGUUUGCACAUCAUCCAUGGAACGCCGGUCUGAAGGUUUACAGCCAUUGCUGCUGCCCAGCGAACAUAAGAGGAUUGAAGGAAACAAGAAAUUAUAUUUCUAUUCUGAAUAAUCCCGCUGCAGCAAGAUUCUGUAUGUUAUAUGGUUGACCAUAUCAUUGUUCUAGGCUUCAAAGGCACUGUGUUGGGUAGUUGAUACCUUGUAGGGUUCAUUGUCGCAUCUGAAGGUAAUGUUUGGGACACCGCGCAACCAAAAUGGCAAGCCUCUGCAUGAAUAAAAGAUCUAGUAAAAGCUUUACAUGUUGAGGACACCACAGAAAUGAAACUCUUCUCUGAAAUUCAUGUUGGAAAUGCACUUCAUCAUCUCAUUACCCGUAUUUCCAUUCUGCCUCGAUGAAUGGGCCGACCCGGAGGCUCACAUAGAGGCCUUGAGCAUGGAUUUCUCUGAUGAACUUCACAAGAUCGUAUCUUCCUUCGAAGUUGUACUGGGAGCACCCACCUGACCUUGGAUAGGCUCAUGGACAUUCCAGAAGACGUAUGUCUGUAUGACAUCCAGGCCACCUUCCCUGGCGCUCUCUAUGAGUCUUGGCCACAUCUGCUAAUUGGAUUGUACAUUAGUUUGAAGGAAAGGAACUGAGGUUUUCUGCUUCAUACAGUAUGAUUCGUGGCGCAUGCUUGAUUGCUUGAUUGCUUACUGUAUGUAUGUAUGUAUGUAUUGACUGAACUAAUUUGAUUGCUGGGUGAAACUUUAACUGAACUAAUCUGUUUAUCUAGUGAGUUAGAUUUUCUGCUGUAGUGUACUAGCAAUCAAGAAUUUACUUUAAUUAAAAAAUGCUUGAAAUGA